UGAACAAAGCAAAAAUUAGGGUUUUCUUUGUGUUGCCGACCAACGACGAUGAUUUACGACGUGAAUUCGCCGCUUUUCCGAUCCUUCCUCAGCCAGAAGGGAGGCGCAUCUGACAAGAGGAAAACCGAAGAGCAGAAGCCCAAGGAACAGAGGCCAAAAGCAAGUGAAAACAAACCUGUUAUGAAUGAGUGAAAGCUGCCAGAUGUUUAACUUAUUUUAGCAUAUCUGGAAUGUUGUUAAGCAACUCUUUUACAAGAUGUGGAAUAUGUACUGAAUUUGACAUUUAAAUGGAUCAUAUAUCUUUUAAGAUAUUUGAUCCUUUACUUCUAUUGGUUUUAAAUUUGCGAUCCAAGCUUUUGAUUUUG
This 365-nucleotide unclassified non-coding RNA is filed under the name Hevea brasiliensis (rubber tree). The record is from RNAcentral. Lineage: Eukaryota; Viridiplantae; Streptophyta; Magnoliopsida; Malpighiales; Euphorbiaceae.